CCUGAGGGAAAGUUGCAAAGAACUUUGAAGAGAGAGUUUAAGAGGGCGUGAAACCUCUCAGAAGGAAACUGACGGAGCUGAAAAGACAACUGUCAGAUUCAGUUUCCCAGGUGCUUCGGCAGCAGGGGAAUGCACUUCUGGCAGUUGAGCGUCGCGACCGGUUUUUCUGCUGGUUAAGUUCAAACUGUUGCGGGCUGAUGAAUUCUUAUCAGUGACCCACAGUGUGAUACUGUCCUGGUCGGAUAAACUGUGGACUUGCAUAGACGUGCUUGUACCUACAGAAGCUUGCUGUCUUGACUGUUAAGCUCUGAUAUUAGAGUUUGACGACUAACAUGCUUGCUUUCUGCUGGUUAAAGUCGUUUGUAAGAGUCAGCGGCGUCUACGUCAGCCACCCGUCUGACCCGUCUUGAAACACGGACCAAGGAGUCUAACAUGUGCGCAAGUCAUUGAGUUGAGAACUCAAAGGCGAAAUGAAAGUAAAGGCUAGCUUGCUAGCUGAGGUGAGAUCCUUUAUGGGCGCAUCACCGUCCCGUCCUAAGGGUAAUGUCCCUUGGGUGGAGAUAGAGCGUUCAUGUUGGGACCCGAAAGAUGGUGAACUAUGCUUGAGCAGGAUGAAGCCAGAGGAAACUCUGGUGGAGGUCCGCCGCGGUUCUGACGUGCAAAUCGAUCGUCAGACUUGAGUAUAGGGGCGAAAGACUAAUCGAACCAUCUAGUAGCUGGU
Molecule: ribosomal RNA, 721 nt
Filed under: Enoploides sp. 1P11K2
Lineage: Eukaryota; Metazoa; Nematoda; Enoplea; Enoplida; Thoracostomopsidae
Description: eukaryotic LSU rRNA
Rfam family: Eukaryotic large subunit ribosomal RNA
Source: RNAcentral